RNAcentral lists this ribosomal RNA (1597 nucleotides) under Streptococcus mitis. RNAcentral describes it as "partial 23S ribosomal RNA". It matches the Rfam family "Bacterial large subunit ribosomal RNA", at positions 75 to 1694 of the family's 2925-position model. The record is from RNAcentral. Lineage: Bacteria; Bacillati; Bacillota; Bacilli; Lactobacillales; Streptococcaceae.
GCUACGGGGAGCUGUAAGUAAGCAAAGAGCCGUAGAUAUCCGAAUGGGGGAACCCACCGCUUUUAAAAGGGCGGUACGCGAAAGCGAGGUAACGCAGGGAACUGAAACAUCUAAGUACCUGUAGGAAGAGAAAGAAAAAUCGAUUUCCUAAGUAGCGGCGAGCGAAAGGGAAAGAGCCCAAACCAAUGUGCUUGCAUAUUGGGGUUGUAGGACUCUCAAUAAAGUGUAUGACAAAGUAUAGUAGAACUAGCUGGAAAGUUAGACCGUAGAAGGUAAAAGUCCUGUAUACGAAAUGCUAAGUUGGCGCGAGAGAGCACCUGAGUACGGCGGAACACGAGGAAUUCCGUCGGAAUCUACCAGGACCAUCUGGUAAGGCUAAAUACUACCUAGUGACCGAUAGUGAACCAGUACCGUGAGGGAAAGGUGAAAAGAACCCCGGGAGGGGAGUGAAAGAGAACCUGAAACCGUGUGCUUACAAGUAGUCAGAGCCCCAUGAGGGUGAUGGCGUGCCUUUUGUAGAAUGAACCGGCGAGUUACUUUAUCAUGCGAGGUUAAGUGGAAGACAUGGAGCCGAAGCGAAAGCGAGUCUUAAUAGGGCGAAAUAGUAUGAUGGAGUAGACCCGAAACCAAGUGAUCUACCCAUGGCCAGGUUGAAGUUUAGGUAACACUGAAUGGAGGACCGAACCAGGACACGUUGAAAAGUGUUUGGAUGAGCUGUGGGUAGCGGAGAAAUUCCAAUCGAACUUGGAAAUAGCUGGUUCUCUCCGAAAUAGCUUUAGGGCUAGCCUCGUUGUGAGUUUACUGGAGGUAGAGCACUGUUUGGACUAGGGGCCCAUCCCGGGUUACCGAAUUCAGACAAACUCCGAAUGCCAGAUAAAUAUCAACGGGAGUCAGACUGCGGGUGAUAAGGUUCGUAGUCGAAAGGGAAACAGCCCAGACCGCCAGCUAAGGUCCCAAAUUGUAUGUUAAGUGGAAAAGGAUGUGAUGAUGCACAGACAACCAGGAUGUUGGCUUAGAAGCAGCCACCAUUUAAAGAGUGCGUAAUAGCUCACUGGUCGAGUGACAUCGCGCCGAAAAUGUACCGGGGCUAAACAUACAACCGAAGCUGCGGAUAUAACUAAUGUUAUAUGGUAGGAGAGCGUUCUAACAUCGUAGAAGCCGAGCUGUAAGGCGAGGUGGAGAGGUUAGAAGUGAGAAUGCCGGUGUGAGUAGCGAAAGAUAGGUGAGAAUCCUAUCCACCGAAUGACUAAGGUUUCCAGAGGAAGGCUCGUCCGCUCUGGGUAAGUCGGGACCUAAGGUGAAGCCGAAUGGUGAAGCCGAUGGACAACAGGUAGAAAUUCCUGUACCACCAAAUAUCGUUUGAGAGAAGUGGGGACAGAGGAGGCUAAUUGAUCGUCCUGAUGGAAUAGGACGUCUAAGCACAAAGGUUGAGUAGUAGGCAAAUCCGCUGCUCGUAAGACUGAAGUGUGAUGGGGAGCGAAAUUUAGUAGCGAAGUCAAUGAAGCCAAACUCUCAAGAAAAGCCGCUAUCGAGAUAAGAGGUGCCCGUACCGCAAACCGACACAGGUAGUUGGGAAGAGAAUUCUAAGGUGAGCGAG